RNAcentral lists this ribosomal RNA (253 nucleotides) under uncultured bacterium. RNAcentral describes it as "partial 16S ribosomal RNA". It matches the Rfam family "Bacterial small subunit ribosomal RNA", at positions 524 to 776 of the family's 1533-position model. The record is from RNAcentral.
UACGUAGGGUGCAAGCGUUAAUCGGAAUUACUGGGCGUAAAGCGUGCGCAGGCGGUUUUGUAAGACUGUCGUGAAAUCCCCGGGCUUAACCUGGGAAUGGCGAUGGUGACUGCAAGGCUAGAGUUUGGCAGAGGGGGGUAGAAUUCCACGUGUAGCAGUGAAAUGCGUAGAUAUGUGGAGGAACACCGAUGGCGAAGGCAGCCCCCUGGGUCAAAGCUGACGCUCAUGCACGAAAGCGUGGGGAGCAAACAGG